Panicum virgatum (switchgrass) is the source of this 2408-nucleotide RNA transcript. It is a transcript of the gene named L-type lectin-domain containing receptor kinase SIT2-like, with no coding region annotated. The record is from RefSeq and is a predicted model, not a curated record. The transcript has a single exon. NCBI's taxonomy places the organism in Eukaryota, Viridiplantae, Streptophyta, Magnoliopsida, Poales, Poaceae.
AUGCAUGACUACACAAACACAAUAAGUACCUCCCACGGUCUAUGGACGCCCAUUCCUACUUCUUGUCGAGUUCACGGUCGCAGGAAUGCCUAGCAUGGUGUGUCUCUUCUUCCUUUCAGAGAUACUCUUCUCCCUGUCCUUAAGCCUAAUAUCUUCCAUCACUGCCACUGGAGAGGAUCAGUUCGUCUACUCCGGCUUCUCCAGGAGUUACCUCAGCCUUGACGGAGCAGCCACUAUUACACCAGAUGGCGUCCUUGAGCUGACAAAUCACACAGUUCACAUUAAAGGCCAUGCGUUCUAUCCAACUCCAUGGCGAUUCCGUAAGUCCCCUGGUGAGGUGGUGCAGUCUUUCUCAGUUACCUUUGUGUUCGGCAUGAUCCCCAUCUACUCUGAUCAAUGUACCGACGGAAUGACUUUCUUGAUCUCUCCGACCAAGGAUUUCUCAGGUGCACAGACCUCCCAAUACUUGGGUCUCCUCAACAAAACAAGUGAUGGCAAUAAAAAUAACCAUAUAUUUGCAGUUGAGCUUGAUAGUAGCCAAAAUACGGAGUUCAAUGACAUUGAUGACAACCAUAUCGGCAUCAACAUCAAUAGUCUCACCUCAAAUAAAUCAGGAUCAGCUGCCUUCUAUGAUGACAACAGUGGUAUGUUCAAAAACAUAUCCAUGGUUAGUCGCAAAGAAAUGCAAGUAUGGGUGGACUACGAUGGAGAGACCACACAGAUCAACGUGACAUUGGCUCCGCUAAGAUUGCCCAAACCAUCAAGGCCACUACUGUCAGCUACCUACAACCUAUCCACAGUGCUGGAAGAUCCAUCCUACGUUGGCUUCUCGGCAUCAACUGGUCCAAUCAAUUCACUAUAUUGUGUAACUGGCUGGAGCUUGGGCAUAAACCGUCCAGCUCCCUUGAUUGACAUUACCAAGUUGCCAAAGCUGCCUCAUGUUGGCCCAAAACCUCGGUCCAAGUUGCUUGAGAUCAUCCUACCAAUAGCCACAGCCAUAUUCAUCUUCCUUGUUGGAACAACUGUAAUUCAAUUGGUGCGGAGGAGAAUGAAAUAUGCUGAGAUCAAUGAAGAUUGGGAAGCUGAGUUUGGUCCACACCGCUUCUCAUACAAGGAUUUGUUCUAUGCUACAAAUGGAUUUAAGAAUAAGAAUCUACUCGGCCUAGGAGGAUUUGGGAAGGUGUAUAAAGGUCUGCUCUCUGUCUCAAAAUUGGAGGUUGCUGUAAAGAGAGUGUCCCAUGAGUCAAAGCAGGGAAUGAAGGAGUUUGUUGCUGAGAUUGUCAGUAUUGGCCGGCUCCGACAUCGCAACCUUGUCCAGCUACUCGGUUAUUGCAGUAGAAAAGGUGAACUCCCAAUGUAUAUGAAUAUAUGUCAAAUGGCAGUCUUGACAAGUAUUUACAUUGUGAAGAGGGCAAACCCACUCUGAAUUGGGCUCAAAGGUUUCAAAUCAUCAAAGGUGUAGCAUCCGGCCUAUUCUACCUCCAUGAGAGGUGGGAGAAAGUUGUAAUUCAUCGAGAUAUCAAGGCAAGCAAUGUGCUCCUUGACAGUGAGAUGAAUGGACGCCUAGGUGACUUUGGUCUUGCAAGACUGUAUGAUCAUGGCACUGAUCCACAAACAACCCAUGUGGUUGGUACAAUGGGGUAUCUAGCCCCAGAACUGGCAAGCACCGGUAAGGCAACGACUCAGACAGAUGUCUAUGCAUUUGGCAUUUUCAUUCUUGAAGUAACCUGCGGGCAAAGGCCUAUCAAUAGUCAUGCAGAUGAUAGUUCCCAGAUCUUGGUUGAUUGGGUUGUUGAGCAUUGGCACAAAGGAUCACUCACAUACACACUUGACAGUAGAUUACAAGGCAACUACAACUCUGAUGAGGUCAGGCUGGCAUUAAAUCUUGGUUUGUUGUGUGCACAUCCAUUUUGCAAUGCAAGGCCUAAUAUGCGUCAAGUCAUACAAUACCUUAACGGUGAGAUGCCACUCCCGGAGCUGAUGCCCACAAACAUAAGUUACGGUGUGUUGGGCCUGAUGCUAAAUGAAGGUUUUGACCAAUAUUCAGCAUUGGCGUCCACAGUUGGCAGCAGUUGCAUGACGUCCAGCCUCUCAAGUGGACGAUGAUAAUAGAUAGAUGCCUUACCCAUGGCCAUAUCAUCUUGUAGUUAGUAAGCCUGAUUAAGUUAUGGUAUGGAAUCUACUGUAAUUCUUAUUCCUAGUGUCAUAAUACUUACCUCAGGGAUUCUGAAGCAGAAAAUAAUCUGUCAAGUCUCUGUUUCUUCCUACUUCAUGGUUUUUAUAUGCUUCGAUGCAAGGGUUAUGCUGUCAGAUCUUGUAUACUGUUGUAGAGUCUGUACAUGUCAACUCUUGUAAAUUGUCUUAAAAUGCUGCACUGCACAAAGGAUACUCUAAUAUAUUGAAGACAA